Molecule: ribosomal RNA, 425 nt
Filed under: uncultured bacterium
Lineage: Bacteria
Description: partial 16S ribosomal RNA
Rfam family: Bacterial small subunit ribosomal RNA
Source: RNAcentral
GUGGGGAAUAUUGGGCAAUGGGCGAAAGCCUGACCCAGCAACGCCGCGUGAAGGAAGAAGGUCUUCGGAUCGUAAACUUCUAUCCUUGGUGAAGAUAAUGACGGUAGCCGAGAAGGAAGCCCCGGCUAACUACGUGCCAGCAGCCGCGGUAAUACGUAGGGGGCAAGCGUUGUCCGGAAUGAUUGGGCGGCAAGGGCGCGUAGGCGGCCUGGUCAGGCUGGAGUGAGAGUCCUGCUUUUAAGGUGGGAAUUGCUUUGGAUACUGUCGGGCUUGAGUGCAGGAGAGGUAAGUGGAAUUCCCGGUGUAGCGGUGAAAUGCGUAGAGAUCGGGAGGAACACCAGUGGCGAAGGCGACUUACUGGACUGUAACUGACGCUGAGGCGCGAAAGUGUGGGGAGCAAACAGGAUUAGAAACCCGAGUAGUCC